Molecule: transfer RNA, 100 nt
Filed under: Blattabacterium sp. (Cryptocercus punctulatus) str. Cpu
Lineage: Bacteria; Pseudomonadati; Bacteroidota; Flavobacteriia; Flavobacteriales; Blattabacteriaceae
Description: tRNA-His
Rfam family: tRNA (bases 25-99)
About the family: Transfer RNA (tRNA) molecules are approximately 80 nucleotides in length.
Source: RNAcentral
UUACAAUCUAAUAUAAUAGUGAUGGUGGAUGUAGCUCAGUUGGUUUAGAGCAUCAGAUUGUGGUUCUGAGGGGCGCCGGUUCAAAUCCGGUCUUCCACCC